Long non-coding RNA from Octopus sinensis (East Asian common octopus), 891 nucleotides. RefSeq lists it as uncharacterized. The record is from RefSeq and is a predicted model, not a curated record. NCBI's taxonomy places the organism in Eukaryota, Metazoa, Mollusca, Cephalopoda, Octopoda, Octopodidae. The transcript is spliced from 4 exons.
UGCCGUUCAAAAGGAAAAAAUCCUAGUAAAGAACUAGGUAUUUGAUUCCACGCAAAAAAUUAGUGUUUGCAGCAUUAAAUAUUCCGGGACAGGAGAGACGCAUGCGCAUUGAACCUGCUUCCGCCUUCUUGAUGACUUGCAGUAAAAUGUCUGGCGUCUGAGUUUCUCUUAAUUCAGCUCAAAAUAAAGCAUUAUAAUGCAUUUCUCAACUACUACAUAUACAACAACACUAUCCUUUAUGAAUCAUUUCCUGUGCACUCAAUGACUAUAAUGUUUUGCAUCUUUGGAUAUGGCUGCCCUGGUCCUGGUAAAGCAUAUACAAUGGUAGUUGGUAAUGUAGAAGAUGAGAUGAUGGGUAUGAUUCCAAGAGCUGCUAUUCAGGUGUUUGAAACAGUUGAAUUAUUAGUUGAGAAAGGUUAGACGUAUGAAUUCAAUGUGUCCUUCCUUGAGAUUUACAAUGAAGCCAUUCAUGAUUUGCUGAAUGACAAAGAGAAGAACGAUGUCUAAAUGGCUGCUGACAAAUCAGGUGCAAUGAAUGUUAGCAAUGGGACUAGUGUUGCAGUUGCAUCUUGAGCCCAGAUUCAUUGGUUGUUGUUGAAGGCCUCCAAGAACCAUGCUGUUAGUGAAACCAGACUCAGUGAGUGCUCAUCUUGUAGUCACAGUGCUUGGGGAGACCUGCAAUGGCUGGUAAUAUUUUUAGAGAUUUAGGACGAUUUGUCUCUUGAUAUUUGUAUAAUUUUUUAGUCCUAUAUCUGCUUCUUUAUUACAAACAAGGACAGACAAAUGGAUUAAGUCGAUUACAUCGACCCCAGUGUGUAACUGGUACUUAAUUUAUCGACCCCGAAAGGAUGAAAGGCAAAGUCGACUUCGGCGGAAUUUGAACUCAGAACG